This is a long non-coding RNA of Magnolia sinica, 137 nucleotides long. RefSeq lists it as uncharacterized. The transcript is spliced from 2 exons. The record is from RefSeq and is a predicted model, not a curated record. NCBI's taxonomy places the organism in Eukaryota, Viridiplantae, Streptophyta, Magnoliopsida, Magnoliales, Magnoliaceae.
GACCAGACCCCAAUCUGACCAGACCCGUUUAGAUAAUCUGCCAUUACCCAACUCAAGUUUAAUAAUGGAAUAUGACACGAAGGUGAUCAACGCAAUUAGCUUAGAGAGUGGAUAUGUACAUACAUUAAAAAAAAUAA